RNAcentral lists this ribosomal RNA (326 nucleotides) under uncultured eukaryote. Its description in RNAcentral is "partial 18S ribosomal RNA". It matches the Rfam family "Eukaryotic small subunit ribosomal RNA", at positions 1470 to 1796 of the family's 1831-position model. The record is from RNAcentral.
CCCUUAGAUGUUCUGGGCCGCACGCGCGCUACACUGACGAUGGCAACGAGUUUUUCCUUCGCCGAAAGGUGUGGGUAAUCUUUUGAAACAUCGUCGUGCUGGGGAUAGAUCAUUGCAAUUUUUGAUCUUGAACGAGGAAUUCCUAGUAAGCGCGGGUCAUCAUCCCGCGCUGAAUACGUCCCUGCCCUUUGUACACACCGCCCGUCGCUCCUACCGAUUGAGUGGUCCGGUGAGGCUUUGGGAUCUGAGCGGAAAGAGCGUUUCGCUGUUUCUGCCCGGAAAACUCAGUCGAACCUUAUCAUUUAGAGGAAGGAGAAGUCGUAACA